This 2543-nucleotide small RNA is filed under the name Pan troglodytes (chimpanzee). RNAcentral describes it as "retained intron". The record is from RNAcentral. Lineage: Eukaryota; Metazoa; Chordata; Mammalia; Primates; Hominidae.
CCUAGAGCUCAUUCCCUACGCCCCGACUCUGUCCUGGACAGCGUGCCCACCAGCCAUGGCGGGGCCCCGGGGCCUCCUCCCACUCUGCCUCCUGGCCUUCUGCCUGGCAGGCUUCAGCUUCGUCAGGGGGCAGGUGCUGUUCAAAGGCUGUGAUGUGAAAACCACAUUUGUCACUCAUGUACCCUGCACCUCGUGCGCGGCCAUCAAGAAGCAGACGUGUCCCUCAGGCUGGCUGCGGGAGCUCCCGGAUCAGAUAACCCAGGACUGCCGCUACGAAGUACAGCUGGGGGGCUCUAUGGUGUCCAUGAGCGGAUGCAGACGGAAGUGCCGGAAGCAAGUGGUGCAGAAGGCCUGCUGCCCUGGCUACUGGGGUUCCCGGUGCUAUGAAUGCCCUGGGGGCGCUGAGACCCCAUGCAAUGGCCACGGGACCUGCUUGGAUGGCAUGGACAGGAAUGGGACCUGUGUGUGCCAGGUAAGGGCUGGGCAAGGUGGGGUGGAGGCUCAGAGGGGCCACGCUGACUUGGUGCAUCCACCACCAGGAAAACUUCCGCGGCUCAGCCUGCCAGGAGUGCCAAGACCCCAACCGGUUCGGGCCUGACUGCCAAUCGGUGUGCCGCUGUGUGCACGGAGUGUGCAACCAUGGGCCACGUGGGGAUGGAAGCUGCCUGUGCUUUGCUGGAUACACUGGCCCCCACUGUGAUCAAGAGCUGCCCGUCUGCCAGGAGCUGCGCUGUCCCCAGAACACCCAGUGCUCCGCAGAGGCUCCCAGCUGCAGGUGCCUGCCCGGCUACACACAGCAGGGCAGUGAAUGCCGAGCCCCCAACCCCUGCUGGCCAUCACCCUGCUCACUGCUGGCCCAGUGCUCGGUAAGCCCCAAGGGGCAGGCUCAGUGUCACUGCCCUGAGAACUACCAUGGCGAUGGGAUGGUGUGUCUGCCCAAGGACCCAUGCACUGACAACCUUGGUGGCUGCCCCAGCAACUCUACUUUGUGUGUGUACCAGAAGCCGGGCCAGGCCUUCUGCACCUGCCGGCCAGGCCUGGUCAGCAUCAACAGCAACGCUUCUGCGGGCUGCUUCGCCUUCUGCUCCCCCUUCUCCUGCGACCGGUCUGCCACUUGCCAGGUGACCGCUGAUGGGAAGACCAGCUGUGUGUGCAGGGAAAGCGAGGUGGGGGAUGGGCGUGCCUGCUACGGACACCUGCUCCACGAGGUGCAGAAGGCCACGCAGACAGGCCGGGUGUUCCUGCAGCUGAGGGUCGCCGUGGCCAUGAUGGACCAGGGCUGCCGGGAGAUCCUUACCACAGCGGGCCCUUUCACCGUGCUGGUGCCAUCCGUCUCCUCCUUCUCCUCCAGGACCAUGAAUGCAUCCCUUGCCCAGCAGCUCUGUAGACAGCACAUCAUCGCAGGGCAGCACAUCCUGGAGGACACAAGGACCCAACAAACACGAAGGUGGUGGACGCUGGCCGGGCAGGAGAUCACCGUCACCUUCAACCAAUUCACGAAAUACUCCUACAAGUACAAAGACCAGCCCCAGCAGACGUUCAACAUCUACAAGGCCAACAACAUAGCAGCCAAUGGCGUCUUCCACGUGGUCACUGGCCUGCGGUGGCAGGCCCCCUCUGGGACCCCUGGGGAUCCCAAGAGAACUAUCGGACAGAUCCUCGCCUCUACCGAGGCCUUCAGCCGCUUUGAAACCAUCCUGGAGAACUGUGGGCUGCCCUCCAUCCUGGACGGACCUGGGCCCUUCACAGUCUUUGCCCCAAGCAAUGAGGCUGUGGACAGCUUGCGUGACGGCCGCCUGAUCUACCUCUUCACAGCGGGUCUCUCUAAACUGCAGGAGUUGGUGCGGUACCACAUCUACAACCACGGCCAGCUGACCGUUGAGAAGCUCAUCUCCAAGGGUCGGAUCCUCACCAUGGCGAACCAGGUCCUGGCUGUGAACAUCUCUGAGGAGGGGCGCAUCCUGCUGGGACCCGAGGGGGUCCCGCUGCAGAGGGUAGACGUGAUGGCUGCCAAUGGCGUGAUCCACAUGCUGGACGGCAUCCUGCUGCCCCCGACCAUCCUGCCCAUCCUGCCCAAGCACUGCAGCGAGGAGCAGCACAAGAUUGUGGCGGGCUCCUGUGUGGACUGCCAAGCCCUGAACACCAGCACGUGUCCCCCCAACAGUGUGAAGCUGGACAUCUUCCCCAAGGAGUGUGUCUAUAUCCAUGACCCAACUGGGCUCAAUGUGCUAAAGAAGGGCUGUGCCAGCUACUGCAACCAAACCAUCAUGGAACAAGGCUGCUGCAAAGGUUUUUUCGGGCCUGACUGCACGCAGUGUCCUGGGGGCUUCUCCAACCCCUGCUAUGGCAAAGGCAAUGUGAGUCCCAUCCUCUCCUGGGGUGAGGUAUGGGGAACACAAGGACUCCUUCACCGGUUGGCCAGUGACUGGCUGUGUGUCUGGGCCAAGCCUGCCACUCUCUGGCCUUGGGAUUCUCAUAUCUACGCAGUGGAAAGUUGGAUCAAAUUAUUUCUCAUAUUUUAAUUAAAAAUAAUUAGAGAGGCC